Molecule: long non-coding RNA, 907 nt
Filed under: Rhinopithecus bieti (black snub-nosed monkey)
Lineage: Eukaryota; Metazoa; Chordata; Mammalia; Primates; Cercopithecidae
Description: lncRNA (ENSRBIG00000045674.1)
Source: RNAcentral
CUGGAUGAUUCAUUAAUUAGGAGUCAAGGAAAAUAAAGAAUUGAAGAUGAUCCCAAGUUUUGUGUUUGUUUCCUGAAUACUUGUGGGUAAUAACAAUAACGUGUGUAGAAUGAGGAAAGCUGACUUUUGGUAGAAAUAGGUGAGUUUUGGUUUUUUAUUUUCUAGUGGAAAAGUGGUGGGGCUAAUCACAACUGCUUAUUUUUGUGCCAGGUAAUUUUGCAUAUGUUAUUGCACUUAAUCUCCUGACUACCUGAGAGCAAAUCAUCAUUUUCCUUUUUCUGUAUGUAGUAUGAGAUUCCAAGACCAAGUGACCUUUCUAAAGCCACAGAGGUUUUAGGUGAUACAGCAGGAUGUGCGCCUGUAUUUCCUGACUCCAAACUCCAUGUUGUGCCUAUUGUCCUCCACAAAAGUGAGUCGUGGGAAGAUAUGUGGAUUGUCCCAGCAUAAAGGAAGAGAGAGACUCAUUUUUUCCCAGGUGCAUACAGAGUCAUCUUCCACUGCUUGCAGCCAAGACCUGCGGUUAUGGAGCACACAGUUGAGGAGCACACUGUGUCAAUCAAACACUGUUUCAUCGCAUUAAAUUGCACCAAACCCUUCCAACAGUAGGUGGGAGCAGAGGAUUUAAAUUGAACAUCAGCAAAGAAGAAAAGCUUAAAUUCAGACUGGGAACAAAUAUGCAUUUGCCUGAGUGUGCCGUAAUCCUGGGAGAACAAUAGGAAAUAUCUUGAAUUAAAAAAAAAACAAAAAACAAAAAACUAUGAACUGUGAUCAAGAGGGAGAAAAUACAGGACUUAGCUGAAAAUCUAGGUUUUAAACUUUCUUACUUUUAACCUUGAGAAAGUUAUUUAAGUGUUCUUAAACUAAAUUUUCUAAUUUUUCACAUAAUCUCUAAUAGUCUAUUUAAAAG